This is a non-coding RNA of Potamilus streckersoni, 75 nucleotides long. Lineage: Eukaryota; Metazoa; Mollusca; Bivalvia; Unionida; Unionidae. The record is from the annotation of a GenBank genome assembly.
UGAUCUCGUCUCCUAGCGGUUAGAGCUCCAGCCUAAGAUGCGGGUGGUCGAAGGUUCGAACCCCGGCCGAGUCAU